AGUUUAAUAGUUUAAAAAAAAAACAUUGAUUUUGUAAAUCAAAGAUGGAAACACCUUUAAAUUA
Nilaparvata lugens (brown planthopper) is the source of this 64-nucleotide non-coding RNA. Lineage: Eukaryota; Metazoa; Arthropoda; Insecta; Hemiptera; Delphacidae. The record is from the annotation of a RefSeq genome assembly.